GAUGAACGCUGACAGAAUGCUUAACACAUGCCAGUCUACUUGAAUUUGGGUUUUUUAACUUAGAUUUGGGUGGCGGACGGGUGAGUAACGCGUAAAGAACUUGCCUCACAGCUAGGGACAACAUUUGGAAACGAAUGCUAAUACCUGAUAUUAUGAUUAUAAGGCAUCUUAGAAUUAUGAAAGCUAUAUGCGCUGUGAGAGAGCUUUGCGUCCCAUUAGCUAGUUGGAGAGGUAACGGCUCACCAAGGCGAUGAUGGGUAGCCGGCCUGAGAGGGUGAACGGCCACAAGGGGACUGAGACACGGCCCUUACUCCUACGGGAGGCAGCAGUGGGGAAUAUUGGACAAUGGACCAAGAGUCUGAUCCAGCAAUUCUGUGUGCACGAUGACGUUUUUCGGAAUGUAAAGUGCUUUCAGUUGGGAAGAAAAAAAUGACGGUACCAACAGAAGAAGUGACGGCUAAAUACGU
Molecule: ribosomal RNA, 467 nt
Filed under: uncultured bacterium
Lineage: Bacteria
Description: partial 16S ribosomal RNA
Rfam family: Bacterial small subunit ribosomal RNA
Source: RNAcentral